Molecule: small nuclear RNA, 115 nt
Organism: Sinocyclocheilus rhinocerous
Lineage: Eukaryota; Metazoa; Chordata; Actinopteri; Cypriniformes; Cyprinidae
Gene: U5
Rfam family: U5 spliceosomal RNA
About the family: U5 RNA is a component of both types of known spliceosome.
Source: Ensembl
CGCUCAUGUUUCACCUCAGAUUGUAUAAAUCUUUCGCCUUUCACUAAAGAUUUCUGUGGGGCGGAGCACAAUGAGUAAUUUCUAAUUUGUUGUUGUCGUGCAUUAAUGCGGGGCA